Sander lucioperca (pikeperch) is the source of this 1369-nucleotide long non-coding RNA. RefSeq lists it as uncharacterized. The record is from RefSeq and is a predicted model, not a curated record. The transcript has 2 exons. NCBI's taxonomy places the organism in Eukaryota, Metazoa, Chordata, Actinopteri, Perciformes, Percidae.
ACAUAUUCUCACGGUGGACCCGCCAUAUUUAUCCUGCCGCUGACUGAGGACGGCAGGCUAACUGCUCUCGAGAGUGGAUGAACAAGCCUCAAAUGGAAUAUGAGACGCAAAAAAAAGAGGAGAGGAGGAGGGGAGGGUUAAAAUCAAUUUUCCCAGACAGAGGCAGGCUGGUCUAAUGGAGGUCUAAAAGAAGAGGAGGAGAGGACAUAUUUUCCUCUGAUUACCUCCUGUAGCCUCCCUGGCAAACCUUGAAAGCUAGGAUCGCUCCAGCAGCCUUGCUCAUCCGACCUUUUUGCAGAAGGUAUGGAGUUUAGUCUUUCACUCUGCAGCACUCAGGCUUUGAGGUGGACAAGACAGUGCAGCUAAAACAUGCAAAAUCACUGAUUGCAAGGAAAUCAAACCCAGCGACCUGAUAGACUUUGGACGUACAUGGAAUCAUGUCUUCAUAAGCAGACAUGCUCAUUUUUUCUCUACACUCCUUUUUGAAGUCACAUCUAAGCUAAUUUCUGCUUUUCAAUAUGCUGCUCUUUGUAUAAGUUAUGUAACCUGUGGUUCCAUCUCUAAGAGCGAAAAUGAGCUGGAUUAAAUGGAUAAAGGUUCCCAUUUGGCUAAGAUGAAUCAAUUAUAUCAUAUAAAGGAAGGGAAUUUGUCAUUAGUGUCUUUGCCAAAAGAAGGCAGAUAUUCUCCAUUCGGACAGCCUGUCUGAUGUCAUGACCAGGUCGCUAUUUUCAAUUUCCUGCAACAGGCUUGAUUAUUAUAAAUUGGUGAGUGAAGUGGACAUUCAGUGCUAUGCAGAAAAUGCAGGUAGUGAUUUGUUCCAGUUCUAGCUGAGGGGAUUUUAAAACUUGGUUAUCUCCUCAUAAAGUGAAAUGCAUGUGUGGUGGUAGAAAAUGUAUGGGAGAAUGAUCAAACUGAUGCCUGACAAAGUGAGCAAUACAUUUAAGGAUUUUUGAUACACUGUGUUCAAACUCCUCAUAAACUCAUGAAUCAAAAAUGUCCCAGUUACUGCAUCAAUUACCAAACGAUUGUAAGGGAAACCUGCUGUCUCUCCAACAGAAAUGUUGACACAAGCUAUCUGAAGUCUAAAGGCUUUGACCUGCAAUAGAACUAGAAAAGAAAACAGGGACAGAUGUGGCUCCAAAACCACAAAACCCCUCCAACAGCCACUGUAUGUCAGCUUAGUGAUGUGCUCAUUAAACUUGUGAAUGUUCAACCAGCUAAGAAACAACGUUUCAAUGAACUUUUCCUUUUCUUUGAAUCUCUUACUGUACAAAUACAGUUUUUCUUUUCCAGAGGAAGGAAAGUAGUAAAAAAGCUCAGGAGGGUUUGAAAAGCUCAUAAAUGUAGCUGAAGGAGAGCUUGUAACACA